Molecule: ribosomal RNA, 427 nt
Filed under: uncultured beta proteobacterium
Lineage: Bacteria; Pseudomonadati; Pseudomonadota; Betaproteobacteria
Description: bacterial SSU rRNA
Rfam family: Bacterial small subunit ribosomal RNA
Source: RNAcentral
AACGCGAAGAACCUUACCUACCCUUGACAUGUACGGAACCUUCCAGAGAUGGUUGGGUGCCCGAAAGGGAACCGUAACACAGGUGCUGCAUGGCUGUCGUCAGCUCGUGUCGUGAGAUGUUGGGUUAAGUCCCGCAACGAGCGCAACCCUUGUCAUUAGUUGCUACAUUUAGUUGGGCACUCUAGUGAGACUGCCGGUGACAAACCGGAGGAAGGUGGGGAUGACGUCAAGUCCUCAUGGCCCUUAUGGGUAGGGCCUCACACGUAAUACAAUGGCCGGUACAGAGGGCUGCCAACCCGCAAGGGGGAGCCAAUCUCAGAAAGCCGGUCGUAGUCCGGAUUGUUCUCUGCAACUCGAGAACAUGAAGUCGGAAUCGCUAGUAAUCGCGGAUCAGCAUGUCGCGGUGAAUACGUUCCCGGGCCUUGUA